UGGAGCCAAUGGAGUUUAAUUAACAGCAUGAAAAGCUCAUCGAUACGAUUUAGGAUACCACAUAAUUAAAUUACCACUUGAGUUUUUGGUGUUGUAUCAAAGAAUACCCACACCAACCACCUGAGAACAAUUCUUAAAGUGCUUCUCUUCUCCAAGGACAGGAAUGAAGCUGGAUACGCUACAUAGAAUCCAACCAAAACCACGUUAUCACGAUAGACUUAACACAGCAGACGUGAUAAUCUGGCUUCUAUUAAGCCAGAGAGUUCAAAGAUUACAAAAACGUUGAAUACCACUAAUUUUUUGGAAGGUUCUUUUCCUCAUAAAAACAUUAUCAAACAAUGGGUUUAUUAUCUUUAAAACAAUUAUUCUUAAAUCUCUCAAAUUUUUAAACAUGGUUAAGCAUCAGUAGAUAAAACCCAUGUAAACAAAAAGGAUCUUUGGGGUCCUCGAUAUGAUUAAGAAUAUACAGGUGUCCUGAGACUAAAAAGGUUGAGAACUACUGGCCUAGAGGGACAAGAGUUAAAAUCGAUUAAAGGAAAACAUGUAGCCAACAAUACACACCCACACACACACAUACUUGAACACGUUGAUGCUUGGGAAUAAUUUAACACAAAGACAUAAUGAAGUCAGGUCAGCCCCUACAAAUGUAAUCCUUUUGAAAUUUACAGCUGAAAAUGCACAACUAGACUUGCUGUUAGCAAGCCAAACACCCCAAGUGACAUAUGAAUUUAGAAUUUAAAACUUAAAACAGUCUCCUCUUCAAUUUACAGUCCUAUCUUUUGACAAAUUGCUGGAUGUUAAAAAUGUGCAAAACUAAAUGCAGUGAGGUAUCCUGGAUUGGACCCUGCAACUGUGUAAAGGACUUUAGUGGAAAACCAAGUAAACAGUCAAUUAGCGCACCUUUGUAACAUCUUUGCACCUUUUCUGUAAAUAUAAAAUUAUUCAAAAAUAAAUGUUUACAAAAGUGCAAAAAACACACGUGCCCUUCAAGCAAUGUCAGGUUUUGAAAUAAGAACAACUUCCAAAAGGGCGCUUAGAUGGCUCAGCCUGCUGAAGUGUCUGAUCCACCGUCCUGACACUCAGACCCACAUCAGUAUUCUGGCUCAGCAGGGAAUCGGCUUCUCUCCCUCUCCUCGUGCUCUCAAAAGCUUCCCACCAAGGAGUGCUCCCUCCAAAUCUUAAACAUUUUCCAACUUUAAAAGGACCUUGUUGGCAGAUGCUAGGGGUCAGAGACUGCACAGUACAACUUAGAUGGGCAGAGCUGUGCAAUGCAGGACAUCCAUCAUCCCUGGUUCCCGCCUUUUAAUUACUGAUAGUGUUCGGCUCCCAUCACAGUUAUGGCAUCACUGUUAAAGCUAGGUUUUUUUCAAUCCAAGGAAGAUUAAAAGGCAUGAAGUAGAAAGAUCU
Molecule: long non-coding RNA, 1407 nt
Filed under: Canis lupus familiaris (dog)
Lineage: Eukaryota; Metazoa; Chordata; Mammalia; Carnivora; Canidae
Description: lncRNA (ENSCAFG00000052702.1)
Source: RNAcentral